Molecule: ribosomal RNA, 510 nt
Filed under: uncultured Enterococcus sp.
Lineage: Bacteria; Bacillati; Bacillota; Bacilli; Lactobacillales; Enterococcaceae
Description: bacterial SSU rRNA
Rfam family: Bacterial small subunit ribosomal RNA
Source: RNAcentral
GCCCGCCUACGGGAGGCAGCAGUAGGGAAUAUUGGGCAAUGGGCGCAAGUCUGAUCCAGCCAUGCCGCGUGGGUGAAGAAGGCCUUCGGGUUGUAAAACCCUUUUGUUAGGGAAGAAAUCCAGCCAGAUUAAACCUUGAUCCCUUGACGGUAUCCAACCAAAAAGCCCCGGCUAACUUCGUGCCAGCAGCCGCGGUAAUACGAAGGGGGCAAGCGUUAUUCGGAAUUAUUGGGCGUAAAGCGAGCGCAGGUGGUUUUUUAAGUCCGAUGUGAAAGCCCCCGGCUCAACCGGGGGGGUCAGUGGAAACUGGGAGACUUGAGUGCAGUAGAGGAGAGUGGAAUUCCAUGUGUAGCGGUGAAAUGCGUAGAUUCAGGAGGAACACCCAUGGCGAAGGCGGCUCUCUGGUCCAACACUGACACUGAGGCUCGAAAGCGUGGGGAGCAAACAGGAUUAGAUACCCUGGUAGUCCACGCCGUAAACGAUGAGAACUGAGUGUUGGGUGCAUCCGCC